UAGAACACCUACACAACUUUUAUUCUUUUAGCUUGCUUUGGGGCAAACAAUACAAGUUGAAGGAAAAGACAACUGGCAAGGAAGGCAUGGGAUUUUUCUGCCUCCUCAUGUGUUUUCGCCAGCAUGCUGAAGGGACCGGGCCCCUUCUUCCAGAUGUGCUUGGGCAGAUGACGUCAAUGCAGGGAUCAGUUAAGAAAACUGCCAGGUGAAGGUGGAACCCAACAAGGCUUCCAUGAUGCAGUUGUGGUCCUUGAUGAUCACAUUAAAGCCACCUUAAAAUCAAG
This 284-nucleotide long non-coding RNA is filed under the name Mustela putorius furo (domestic ferret). RNAcentral's name for it is "lncRNA (ENSMPUG00000027191.1)". Lineage: Eukaryota; Metazoa; Chordata; Mammalia; Carnivora; Mustelidae. The record is from RNAcentral.